RNAcentral lists this ribosomal RNA (492 nucleotides) under uncultured bacterium. Its description in RNAcentral is "partial 16S ribosomal RNA". It matches the Rfam family "Bacterial small subunit ribosomal RNA", at positions 29 to 507 of the family's 1533-position model. The record is from RNAcentral.
AGUGAACGCUGGCGGUAGGCCUAACACAUGCAAGUCGAACGGCAGCACAGUAAGAGCUUGCUCUUACGGGUGGCGAGUGGCGGACGGGUGAGGAAUACAUCGGAAUCUACUUUUUCGUGGGGGAUAACGUAGGGAAACUUACGCUAAUACCGCAUACGACCUACGGGUGAAAGCAGGGGAUCUUCGGACCUUGCGCGAUUGAAUGAGCCGAUGUCGGAUUAGCUAGUUGGCGGGGUAAAGGCCCACCAAGGCGACGAUCCGUAGCUGGUCUGAGAGGAUGAUCAGCCACACUGGAACUGAGACACGGUCCAGACUCCUACGGGAGGCAGCAGUGGGGAAUAUUGGACAAUGGGCGAAAGCCUGAUCCAGCCAUACCGCGUGGGUGAAGAAGGCCUUCGGAUUGUAAAGCCCUUUUGUUGGGAAAGAAAAGCAGCAGGUUAAUACCCCGCUGUUCUGACGGUACCCAAAGAAUAAGCACCGGCUAACUUCGUG